GCUGGGAUGGCUCAGUUGGUAGAGCAUGAGACUUUCAAUCUCAGGGUUGAGGGUUCGAGUCCCAUGUUGGGCA
This is a non-coding RNA of Podarcis raffonei (Aeolian wall lizard), 73 nucleotides long. The record is from the annotation of a RefSeq genome assembly. Lineage: Eukaryota; Metazoa; Chordata; Lepidosauria; Squamata; Lacertidae.